AGGAGUGAACCGGUAGGAUGGAAACGGAUAAAGCCAACGAAUAAGCCCGUAUUCAGCUAGUCGGUAGCGUGCAGCAUUCUUGUGUGCCCGAUAGUGUGCAUGGGAGUGUGUGUUAUGCUGUCGGCUAGUGCAUUUGCGGGUUGUGUGCGCCGAGGCGUGUGAUCGUACCGCAAUAUGAACUGUUCGGAGAGGCCUUGCUUCGGCUUGGUACCUACGAGUGGGGAGUAUAGUCGGGGUUGCACGUACGCUUUAUUGGGCUAGGAGGACUCGCGCUGCGGUAUUGUGAGGCCGGCGCCUUGGUGAGUCGCAUGCGACUUACCCUUGGUGUUCGGUAUCUGUGCAUUGCCGUACCGCCCUGGCCCAUCCUCGGUGUAAAAGUUGGUCAUUUCUCCGACCCGUCUUGAAACACGGACCAAGGAGUCUAGCGUAUACGCGAGUCAUUGGGUGGAAAACCCAUAGGCGAAAUGAAAGUGAAUGUCUCUUUACGGGACUGAUAUGCAAUCCGUUGCGCUACGGUGUACCGGAGCACCAUAGCCCCAUCUCGACUGCUUGCAGUGGGGUGGAGGUAAGCGUAUUCGCUGGUACCCGAAAGAUGGUGAACUAUGCCUGAGCAGGAUGAAGCCAGAGGAAACUCUGGUGGAGGUCCGAACCGCUUCUGACGUGCAA
RNAcentral lists this ribosomal RNA (666 nucleotides) under Filiponema suifunense. RNAcentral describes it as "eukaryotic LSU rRNA". It matches the Rfam family "Eukaryotic large subunit ribosomal RNA", at positions 386 to 896 of the family's 3401-position model. Lineage: Eukaryota; Metazoa; Nematoda; Chromadorea; Rhabditida; Drilonematidae. The record is from RNAcentral.